This 575-nucleotide ribosomal RNA is filed under the name Staphylococcus aureus. RNAcentral describes it as "partial 23S ribosomal RNA". It matches the Rfam family "Bacterial large subunit ribosomal RNA", at positions 2351 to 2925 of the family's 2925-position model. Lineage: Bacteria; Bacillati; Bacillota; Bacilli; Caryophanales; Staphylococcaceae. The record is from RNAcentral.
GUAAAGGCAUAAGGGAGCUUGACUGCGAGACCUACAAGUCGAGCAGGGUCGAAAGACGGACUUAGUGAUCCGGUGGUUCCGCAUGGAAGGGCCAUCGCUCAACGGAUAAAAGCUACCCCGGGGAUAACAGGCUUAUCUCCCCCAAGAGUUCACAUCGACGGGGAGGUUUGGCACCUCGAUGUCGGCUCAUCGCAUCCUGGGGCUGUAGUCGGUCCCAAGGGUUGGGCUGUUCGCCCAUUAAAGCGGUACGCGAGCUGGGUUCAGAACGUCGUGAGACAGUUCGGUCCCUAUCCGUCGUGGGCGUAGGAAAUUUGAGAGGAGCUGUCCUUAGUACGAGAGGACCGGGAUGGACAUACCUCUGGUGUACCAGUUGUCGUGCCAACGGCAUAGCUGGGUAGCUAUGUGUGGACGGGAUAAGUGCUGAAAGCAUCUAAGCAUGAAGCCCCCCUCAAGAUGAGAUUUCCCAACUUCGGUUAUAAGAUCCCUCAAAGAUGAUGAGGUUAAUAGGUUCGAGGUGGAAGCAUGGUGACAUGUGGAGCUGACGAAUACUAAUCGAUCGAAGACUUAAUCAAAUU